RNAcentral lists this ribosomal RNA (301 nucleotides) under uncultured bacterium. Its description in RNAcentral is "partial 16S ribosomal RNA". It matches the Rfam family "Bacterial small subunit ribosomal RNA", at positions 509 to 807 of the family's 1533-position model. The record is from RNAcentral.
CAGUCGCCGCGGUAACACGUAGGGUGCGAGCGUUAAUCGGAAUUACUGGGCGUAAAGCGUGCGCAGGCGGUUGUGUAAGACAGGUGUGAAAUCCCCGGGCUUAACCUGGGAACUGCGCUUGUGACUGCACAGCUAGAGUAUGGCAGAGGGGGGUGGAAUUCCACGUGUAGCAGUGAAAUGCGUAGAGAUGUGGAGGAACACCGAUGGCGAAGGCAGCCCCCUGGGCCAAUACUGACGCUCAUGCACGAAAGCGUGGGGAGCAAACAGGAUUAGAUACCCCUGUAGUCCCUGUCUCUUAUAC